Molecule: ribosomal RNA, 519 nt
Filed under: uncultured bacterium
Lineage: Bacteria
Description: bacterial SSU rRNA
Rfam family: Bacterial small subunit ribosomal RNA
Source: RNAcentral
AGAGUUUGAUUCUGGCUCAGGAUGAACGCUAGCUACAGGCUUAACACAUGCAAGUCGAGGGGCAGCAUUGGGGUAGCAAUACUCAGAUGGCGACCGGCGCACGGGUGAGUAACACGUAUCCAACCUGCCGCUUACUCGGGGAUAGCCUUUCGAAAGAAAGAUUAAUACCCGAUGGUAUAAAGAGUUCGCAUGUUCUCUUUAUUAAAGAAUUUCGGUAAGCGAUGGGGAUGCGUUCCAUUAGAUAGUUGGCGGGGUAACGGCCCACCAAGUCUACGAUGGAUAGGGGUUCUGAGAGGAAGGUCCCCCACAUUGGAACUGAGACACGGUCCAAACUCCUACGGGAGGCAGCAGUGAGGAAUAUUGGUCAAUGGACGAGAGUCUGAACCAGCCAAAAGUAGCGUGAAGGAUGACUGCCCUAUGGGUUGUAAACUUCUUUUAUAAGGGAAUAAAGUGAGGGACGUGUCCCUUUUUGUAUGUACCUUAUGAAUAAGGAUCGGCUAACUCCGUGCCAGCCGCCGC